This 105-nucleotide ribosomal RNA is filed under the name Bathycoccus prasinos. RNAcentral describes it as "partial Microsporidia small subunit ribosomal RNA". Lineage: Eukaryota; Viridiplantae; Chlorophyta; Mamiellophyceae; Mamiellales; Bathycoccaceae. The record is from RNAcentral.
GGGCGUAUUAUAAUCGAAGGCCGUUGGCAAAGUUGGAAGCGAUCGAUAUGCACGCAGGUGAGAGAAACGAAAAGGAAGAAACCUCUUCGUCGUCCUCUUCGAAAA